GUCUACGACCAUCUAUUUCACGAUUGAAAACACCGGUUCUUCGUCGAUCACCGAAGUUAAGCAACGUCGAGCCCGGCCAGUACUUUGGUCAUGGCCGUGACCGCCUGGAAUACCGGGUUGUUGUAGACU
This 129-nucleotide ribosomal RNA is filed under the name Mytilus galloprovincialis (Mediterranean mussel). Lineage: Eukaryota; Metazoa; Mollusca; Bivalvia; Mytilida; Mytilidae. The record is from RNAcentral.